GCCGCCGCGCGCCCGGGCCGCUCCGGGAGCCCGCGAGGAGGGGGGGCGCGGCCCGCCCCGCGGCCACGUGCGCGGAAACCCGCGGCGGGGGCGCCCGGCCCGGGGCUGCGGCUCCGCCCUCCCGCGAGACCCCAGACUCCCCUCGGGCGCCCUGUGUGUGUCGGGGGGGUACUCCCGCCGGCGCGGGGCACCGCGCGUCUCUCCCCCGCCGCCCCGUGACUUCCUGCCUCCACCUGGAGCCCGAGGCCCGAGGGCAGUUAACCAGAACUAGAGACACGCCACCAAGAAAUCGGCUUGGACCCCCCCCCCGCCCCCAGCUCCCGCCGGUGGCUCUUUCUGAAGUGUUUCUGGGCCCCAAGGGUUGCUGUUACCGGCUGUUCGUUUCUUCCUUGCUUUGCAGAGUAAAGGGGAUCAUUACCCCCACCGACAGCGCCAGAGCACCUGGUUUGCCCUGGCAUAAGCAGAAGAAAAUCUACUCACUCUGAGUGAAGCCGGAAGUCCAAGAUCCAGGUGCGGGAAGAUUCGGUGUCUGGUGAGAACCCUUUGCUCUGUUUGCAGAUGGUUGUCUUUGCAUCGUAUCCUCACAUGGCUGAGAGAGAAAGCUCUACUCUUUCUCUUCUUCUAAGGACAAUAGUUUCAUCAUGGGGGCUCCACCCUCAUCACCUCAUCUUAACCUAAUCACCUCCCAAAGGCCCCACCUCCUAAUACCAUCCCUUUAACCAAACUCUUAGUUUAAUGUCAAGUUUUUACCCUUGACUCAAAUUGAUUAGAAAGAGUCCCCCUCCACCCUCAUACUGAGGCCAUUAGACCAGCAAGAUCCUUGCCUAUUAGCUGCCUGGCUGGAAGAUGCAAGUUUCUCCCUGGUAUUUGCUAGCGAUCAAUAUGCUGACUUUUUGCCAUUCUCUUUUUUUUAAUAAACUUUAUACUUUUUGAUCCACACAUUGCUCUUUAAUUUAUCUUAAUUUAUAGAUGACCUCUGGCAGAAUGAAUUCUAGGAGAAAUUAAAGAGAUAUUCAGAACACUUUAAAUGAGAAUAAAAGAACAUCUCUAAAAGCAUUUUCUGUACAAAUAAAAUGUUGCAUGUUCAACAGAAUCUUAAGUUCAUAAAGAGUCUUAAUCAUUUUUCUUCCUUAAUGAUGUGCCUGUAUCAUAUCACACAUUGUUUAGUGAGCCUCAGAUCUACUUUAAGGCCUCUAUUGAAAAUAGUUGCGCAUAGAAAAAAGCCAGUCCAUUACUUUUUGCUCUCCUAUUUAAGAGAGAAGUUUGGGUGGAGAAAUAGUCUUUUAGAAUAAACUUACCUUUAGGAUAAGGUAGGCCAUAAACUAAUAAAAGAUAAUAUUCUGCAUUUACCACAUGUAAAAAAAAAAUUCUGAUAUGUGCAUAUGUGUUAUAUUUUUCAUUAAAUUUUUAUCUUUAAAGCUUAGGCUUGUAUUAUUUCAUUGCAUGUAGCAGCUCAUGUGUUAUCUCUGUAUUACUAUUUUAUAGAUAAGAAAACUGAGAUGCAUGCAGUUUUCAUCACUGGAAAAAAAGUCUCCUGACUCACCCAAUCAGUAUCCAUCCACAUCAGUUGCCUAUUCAGAGGGGAAAAUGGUGUCCAAGAAACCACAUUUUUAAUGAAAUUAAAAAUUUUUUUUUAAUAACUUAUUUUUUCUUUUUCUUUUUGGCCAUGCCUUGCGACAUGCGGGAUCUUCCCUGACCAGGGAUCCAACCUGUGGCCCCUGCAGUGGAAGCGUGGAGUCUUAACCACUGGAGAAUGAGGAAAGUCCAAAAUUUAAAUUUCUAACAUAUAUUUCCUAUAAGAAAUAUAAAUAAGGUUCUCUUUCAGUUGGAAGUAUUUUUUCUGAAAUGGUCAUCUUUAAAAAGUGAGUGUGCUGUAAUUACAGCUAAAACUCAGCUGUCACGCACUGCUUAAUCAUCAGAAAUGGUGAAUGUGCAGGUGUUCAAGAAAUUUAAAAAAUUGUAUGGAACUUGACUAAACUGAGGAUUUUAAAUGUUAAAAUCUCAAUUUAUUUCUCUGUUUAUACAGUUGGCCUGUGGAAAGAGAACAGUAAUCAUAGUUGGAAACAUUAAUGGGUCAGGCUCUUACACUACCUCCUUUCGUAUAAGAAUCUGUCACCUGAAUAGCGCUUGCAUUUGGCAGAUUCUGCUAAUACUUCUUUUAUCUUAAAAAAGACAGACUGGGCACUAGUUGCAUACUUAGCCUAUUGAUUCUCCAGCAGUGGGCCAUAGCUCCCCAACUGCGAUGCCAGAAGAUGGCCUAGGGGAUCACAAGGUCUGUUACCUGUUUUUGCCCCUUUAUCCUCCCCCAUUUAUAAUAAAUUGUCUUAUACAUUUCACUACAUACAUUUAGAACCACACCAGACUAUUUUAGUAUUUGCUUCCACCAUCAGACAUAAUAUAAAGCAGCUCAUUACUGCAGGUGGGAGUGCAAGUCCAGGCUCCCCUGGUGAGGCUUCAGGACUGACUUUUGGGGAUGAGAGUCCUGCUCCCUGCUGUGCCUUCUCUGACGUCACCCAGAAGCGUGACGUUAGCUACUUGUGUGAUGGUGGGCAAGUCACUUGUCUAAGCCUGCUUCUUCAUUUCUGAAAUUUACCAUACCUUCAGAAAUGGAAGUGGCAUAGUCGUUAAAGAGCGUAGGGCCUGGAUCCAGACAGUGGGCUAGAGUCACGACUCUGCUGUUUCCUACAUCUGUGACCUUGGGCAAAUGACCGCUUUGUGCCUCAGUCUCCUCUCCUGUUGUAAAAGUCAGCUGCUCCGCGGCAUGUGGGAUCUUCCUGGAGCCGGGAUUGAACUCAUGUCCUCUGCAUUGGCAGGCGGAUUCCCAACCACUGCGCCACCUAGGAAGCCCAUUGAGAGCCCGUGCUGAGCACAGAUCAACACAGACACAUCGAUGGAGCUGGUUGAGUCUGAAGCAUCCUUUCACCUGCUUCCCAUCCCCUUUGAUCUAGGCCGCUACUGGGGAGAUUAGUCAAACUGCUGUAAACUCAGUAUGAUUCAGCAAGACUCCAAGAGGUCUAUACAGCUUAUAUGAUUUCCAGACCAGUUCUUAAUCUUUCUCUGUUCCUAAACAUAUGAGGUUGCUUGUUGCAACAGUGACUUUUCAAGAGGAGGCCAUGCUUACCUGGGAGAGAGGUGACUUUGAAAAAGUCUCCAGUUAACUGCUUCUACAUUGUGAAUUAAUUUAGGAUCAUUCUAAGGUAAGCAAAGGAGAACACUACAAUAUAUUUUAAAUUCUGAACAGUGAGAGCUAUGUAAGCUUUUCUGAAUAGAAAUUAUUAGGAAUUAUGAUAGAUUUCAUAUUAUUAUAAAUCUUAGCGAUCUUUACAUUUUUGGACAUACGUACAGAUGCCAGUUAAAAAUUGGCUGUGAAUGGAUUAUGGACAUUUGGAGUAAAAACAACUAAUCUCUCACUUAGCUUUGCAGAGUGGUUUAUAGAUAGUCAAAACUCACUGAGUAAUGAAAUAAUACAAUACUAAAAAAAUGGUAUUACAAACAAAAGUUUAUCUCAAGACUAUUCACCUUGCUUCUGUUCUGAAAUCACCAUGAUCCUGUCCAUUGUACAAGUUUUGCUGAAUUUCUUAGGCAAGCCAGUAGGCCUAAUGGAGAUUCUAAGAACAGACUGAAAAAAUACAGAAGGCAGAAAGCCAGCUGGAGAAGGGUGGCAGGGAUUAGUAGGCAAUACUGUCUAUGAAAUUGCCUCUCUGAGUCAGGACAGCUGAACUGGGGUGACAGUAAAGCCAGCUGACUUCACUGGACAACUGUAUGAUCUGACGUCUUCCCCCACUUAAGAUCAGCUGUAAUGUUAACAAUAUACUCACCUUCAAUU
Long non-coding RNA from Hippopotamus amphibius kiboko, 3826 nucleotides. RefSeq lists it as uncharacterized. Lineage: Eukaryota; Metazoa; Chordata; Mammalia; Artiodactyla; Hippopotamidae. The transcript is spliced from 6 exons. The record is from RefSeq and is a predicted model, not a curated record.